UUCUUGAAAGGAAGGAAAGAAAGACAGCUGCCAGUAGGAUGCUGGGUGUCGGGUAAAACGUUCGCAUGCCCAUGGGAGUGUGUCCCCGGUGGGCAUCAUCCAUCAUCUGGGUCAUGGCAGAAAAGACAUUGAGAACCUUCCAUCUCCUAGCUUCAGGAAAGACCCAGUGAAUCCAUUACAUUCGAAAGAACAUUGAUCUUUGUACCAUCCUCCAGAGAGAAAUCUCCAGCCCUAUCUGGUGUCAAACAACCCUUGAGAAAGCGCACAGUUUGGAAAAGAAGUCUAUGCUGCAUCGCUGGAGCGUCGGCCCGGAAGUCGGGGCACCUGCGGUUCCAGGUCGGGCGCCACCACCCACGAGCUGUGAGACCCGGUGCAGGAAAAAAUGAACUGGAUCAUGGAAGAGAGAGCAACUUGUGAUAAAGGCGUAAAGAGCAGCCCUGGGCACAGCUGGUAAGAAGCCAGCCAGCAAGAAGAACAUUCUGCGCAAAGGACACAGGUUAGGCAACUCCAGACGAUAGUACCAAGGAAACCACACCAUGUAGCAGAAAAAGCAUCAAGUUCUAGGUUCAAGCUUUGUCACUCAUGCUGGUCCAGAGGUACCCACGUGCUCAUCCAUAACGUGGAGGCAAAGAUAAUAAUUAAUAGAACUGCUGUGCAAGUCAAAUGAGAUAUAUAAAGCACCUGGCAUGAGAUGGGAACUCUCUAAAGGGUGAAUAUUGUUAUUUUUAUCAUCCUUAAUACAGCUCAGUGUCAAAGCUCUCUCUGUAAGAAUGAUGAUGAGCCACUCCGGCCCCGCAAGAAAUCACCUGAGAGAGUUUCUGUCCGUGUAAAUCUUACAAGUACCCCUUAAUGAGUUUCGCUGUUUUGCUUAAAGGACUUAUCUCCUUGUUCAAGGUGUGUUGACAUUUAAAGGGGUUUUGAAAGUGGUGAGGUCCAUUCCACUUAAAGGCUGGCUUUAGCUUACAUUUUUGCUCUUGGUAGCCACAGUGGUCAUCCACUGCAAGGUUCCAAGCUCCUUUCAUACCAGUUUUCCUUCUUUUGGUGCUUUUAUUUACUUGCUUAUCCAAUCUGCAGUUUCUACACAAUUUUCCCGAGUUCCUUCCCCUAUGCCUCAAAUCAAACAAUGGCUGGGCUCGGGGAUCAGAGGGAGAGAAAGUUGUUCUUGCAAGAACACCUCCUUGUUUCAAGGGACUUAUCUUAUGUUUCGAAGCCAAAAAAGAAACAGUCUGAAGAAAGCUGGAUCUGCUAAAGAGGCAAAACUAAUCACUAAUCUCUACCUCACUUAUUCCUUGUGUUUCCCUUUGUGCUUAGUAUUGCGUAAUGGGGAUGGUAGCUCUCCUCCUUUUAAAACCUGAGAAUGUCACUUCUUCCACCUCGUGAGAAACAAGUUUUUAACAACACUAGUGCCUUUAUCCCAGAGAGGCUGGUUCGUGACACUGUGUUUACCACCUUUUAGAGGAGAAGCUUCUUGCUUUCCACUGUGUUUCAGGUAAUUUUAGAAAACAAGACUACUGCCUUGCAACAUGCCAGGUAAACAGCAGUUUCCGUUUCAAGGGGAAAUCAUACUUGACCAUCUUGCCUCCUUGAUUCCACUAGAUUAGGAAACAAGCAGAGAUAAACACAGCUUUCGUGGAGUUGGUUGUACGCUAAGGAAAGGAACAACUGGGCCUUUUAAGAUAAAUGGAACUGACAAAGAGUGCAUUCUGCAAAAAAUAAACACAGCUAUAGGAGAGUUACUCUGAACACCGAUAUCUGCAAAUGAUAGUUAAGUAAUUUUGAUGCAACGGUCUUUUUCUCAAGAUUUGAAAUAAAAUCUUUCCCCCUACCCCCCCCCCCCAAACCAUUUAACUAAGCUUUUCGUCGUCUGAUAAAAAUCAUGUUGUCAGAAAUGACAGAACUAAUUUGUGACUUUUUCUCAAAUCAAUUUUGAUGUAAUGCAAGAUUAAAUGAAUAGCUUCCCUUUUCUCCCCUACGUGAAUUAGAACAAAUUGUACUGUUCACUGUGUCCUGUCACACAGACUGGCUUGACAGAAACCUCCGGAUUUUAUUGCAAGAUUUGGAGAAUAAUUAUUAGAGAUCCAUUUUCCCUCAGUGUUUGUUGGGUUCGCAAAGGAUAACUGAUGAGUUCUCAUUGUAGGAUGAGAAUGUCUGACAUGAUGUUUGGGACGGCUUUACGGUCUAGUCUAGAACUCUCGGACCUUCUCAGGAUCCUCCCAUUUUUGCUUUGACUGUAUUACCUGGGGUGAUAAGAACUCAAGUCUCCCAGUUAAUGUCCCUUCCACUCAGUGGUGAAAUUGGAGAGGGGGAAAUCACGCAAACCAUCCUUCUGGUGAUUUGUGCUCGCGGCAAUUCACACUUACAGCCCUCUGCCAAUUACACCCGUGUUGUAACUUCUGACACUUACACGGGGUGUUUCUCACAUGAACAUAUGUUGUUCUCCUCUUUGGAGGAAAUGAAUCCCAACCUUUUGCACACUAGCAGGCCACGAUUCGUUCUAAUCCCAAGGUUUUAUGACAGGAAAAUUGACUAUAAGAAAACAAGGGAAUUGACCAUAAGGACACUGAGUUCGUUUUCUCUGGGGCAUCAGAUCACUGCCCCAAAAUUUCUUUCAAUGCGCUGGUCAAAACGUCCUCAAGGAAAUCAUCUUGAAAUCCAUCAAACAAAUAAACCUGCUCCUUAGAGUUGUUUUGCUUCAGUAUAACAUUUGGCAGGAAAAUGUGGUCAAGGAGAGUGCAUCAUAUUAAAUGGAUUUUAUGUUUAUUGACUACUUGUAGCACCACUUAAUUGAUUUAUGCAUGCUUUAGAAAGCUUUAUGCUCUGAAACAUAUAAUAUAUCAUUUAUAGUUUUUUAUUAAGUCCUGCAUUUGGUAAAAGUUGGCAUAAGGCCCUAGGUCAGGAACUUUACCCUUUGGUUAUAGCACUGUUUCUAUGAGAAAAUAAUGUUUGAUGCACUUUCUUUCCACUUAUGGUAAGUCUCCUAGUAAUCUAAUCCACAUGUAAACGCCACUUGUACUCCCAAGUGCUACUCACUGUCAUAUUCCCACUGUGUUUGAAGGAAGUUUUUCUAUGUUCUUUUGUGACUCUGAGUUGAAAUAACAAAU
Long non-coding RNA from Acinonyx jubatus (cheetah), 3101 nucleotides. RefSeq lists it as uncharacterized. NCBI's taxonomy places the organism in Eukaryota, Metazoa, Chordata, Mammalia, Carnivora, Felidae. The transcript has 4 exons. The record is from RefSeq and is a predicted model, not a curated record.